This is a long non-coding RNA of Sparus aurata (gilthead seabream), 2379 nucleotides long. The record is from Ensembl. Lineage: Eukaryota; Metazoa; Chordata; Actinopteri; Spariformes; Sparidae.
AUGAACUGUGCAUUUUUCUUAAGCCUACUGGCAGCUGUCUGCCUGCCUCACUUCAUUUGCCCAGCCGCUACAGAGGCUCCUGAAAUUAACUCAACAAAUGCUCUGACCACUACAGUACCAGAGGUCAGCGGGCUUUUAACACCUCAGUCAUUCAAAACGCAACAUUUGGCAACACCAGACACCUGGACGAUGCCAACAACUGCCAUGGAGUCAACAUCUGUGACUUCUCUUGAUGAUCCUGCCCAAACCUUUUCUGAUGACACAAGCCUACCAGCUUCACAAUCAUCGACAACAAACAUUGUUGAUGCACCCACAAACAUAUUUCUGACUUCCACGCAGACCACACCUCAAAGCUCAGUCGUCACAGCACACAGCAUUCCACAAUUAUCAGCAACUUAUCCCAUCUUAACAGACACAUCUACACACAAAUUUCAAGACAGAAAGCAGACAGAGGAGCCACAUUUAACCUCAAAUGAGAUGGUCAUGUUAAUCAAUUCAUCCUCCUCCACAUCUGGAGGCUCAAUUGAAGAGAGUUUAUCAAUUAUUCCAACAGUUACAGCGAGGGACAUGACCACUACUAAGAAAGCAACAAGAACGGACAAAGUUAAAACAGUUUCUGGAUCAACCGUGGCAGCAGAUGACAACAAUUUAUCUACGGCACCAUUAGCUAAAACAGCAAAAGGGCCUACCGCCUUUCAGACAGAAUCCACCAAAACUUCAACACAACCUGAAAGCUCUGAGGCAGGACAAAGUACGAAAGCUGUAGCCACAAAAUCCAACACAUCACUCAAGCAAACCACUGAAUCUGCACCAUUUAAAGCAACCACAAUAGCCACAAUGCAUGCAACAACAGUAAUUGGAGCACCUUUGGCCGGCGAGACAGAAAUUGCAGUUACAAGACCAACACAGACCACUACUGAAACCACUCAAAACAUAGGAUCUUUAAUAACAUCAUUUGUGACAACAAUGCCACAUACUACAACCUCUUUAAAAACAACAACACUGCAAUCUACAGCUUCUGUAACAACAAGGCUGCAAGCUACAUCAUCUAUGACAACAAUGGCACAAACUACAGCCUCUGUAACAACAGCACCAGAAACUACAUCAUCUGUGACAACAACGCCACAAACUACACCAUCUUUGAUAACAAUGCCAGAAACUACAUCAUCUGUUACAACAAUGCCACAACCUACAACAUCUGUGAUAACAAUGCCACAAACUACAUCAUCUGUUACAACAACGCUGGAAAGCACAUCAUCUCUUACAGCAAUGCCACAAACUGCAGCCUCUGUAACAAUAACAAUGCCACAUAUUAAAUCAUCUAUAACAACAAUGCCAGAAACUACAUUAUCUGUGACAAGAACGCCACACAGCACAUUAUCUGUGAUAACAAUGACACAAACUACAGUGUCUGUCACACCAUCAUCAUCUGUUACAACCACUCCACAAACUUCAACAUCUGUACCAACAACACCACAAACUGCACCAUCUGUGAUAACAACGACACAGAGCACAUCUGUAAAAUCAAAGCCACAAUCUACAUCAUCUGUGACAACAACCGACCAAACUAUAUCAUCUGUAACAACAAUGCCACAAACAACAGCCUCUGUAACAACAGCUCCACAAACUACAUCAUCUGUUAGAACAACGCCUCAAACUACAGCCUUUGUAACGACAGCACCAAUAACUACAUCAUUUGUUACAACAAUGCCACAAACAACAGCCUCGGUAACAACAGCCCCACAAACUACAUCAUCUGUUACAACAAUGCCUCAAACUAUAGCCUUUGUUACAACGGCACCAAGAACUACAUCAUCUGUUACAACAAUGCCACAAACUACAUCAUCUGUUACAGUGCCACAAUCUACACCAUCUGUGAUAACAACACCACACAGCACAUUAUCUGUGAAAACAACACCACAAACUACACCAUCUGUGAUAACAACACCACACAGCACAUUAUCUGUGAAAACAAAGCCACGAACUACAGUGUCUGUCACACCAACGCCACAAACUACAUCAUCGGUAACAACAAAACCACAAAUAACAUCAUCUGUGACAACAACAGCACAAAGCACAGCAUUUGUGACAAUAAUUCCACAAAUUGCAGCCUCUGUAACAACCGGACCAGAAAUAACAGCCUUUGUAACAAUCAUGCCACAAAGGACAUCAUCUGUGACAACAAUGCUGCAAACUACAUCAUCUGUUACAACAAAGCCACAAAGCACAGCCUCCUUAGCAGCAGAGCAACAACCUACAUCAUCUGUUAAAACCACUCCACAAACUACAUCAUCUGCAACAACAACACCACAAACUGCACCAUCUGUAAUAACAACGCCACAAAUUACAUCAUCUGUUACAACAAUGCCUCAAACUUAA